Molecule: ribosomal RNA, 115 nt
Filed under: Endozoicomonas montiporae CL-33
Lineage: Bacteria; Pseudomonadati; Pseudomonadota; Gammaproteobacteria; Oceanospirillales; Endozoicomonadaceae
Source: RNAcentral
UGGUGACCAUAGAGCGUUGGAACCACCCGAUCCCAUCCCGAACUCGGAAGUGAAACGAUGCAUCGCCGAUGGUAGUGUGGGGAUUCCCCAUGUGAGAGUAGGUCAUCGCCAGGCA